Molecule: long non-coding RNA, 1023 nt
Organism: Drosophila nasuta
Lineage: Eukaryota; Metazoa; Arthropoda; Insecta; Diptera; Drosophilidae
Exons: 4
Source: RefSeq, a predicted model, not a curated record
CUAAUAGUAUUCAUUCCGAGCUGAGAGCGUAAAGAACAUAAAUUUAUAUUUUCUAAAAAGAAGAAAACCAAAUUAAACAAUUUUCAACUUUUGCGUGCUAAAAUAAAUAAUUAAUCAUGGAUUCAUGGAUGAACCCAUAUAAUAUAUUAAUGUAUUUGGUGUGCAUGGUGACACCGUUCGGCGAAAAGUGUCGCAACUAUAUACUCAAGACAUAUGGCGAUUGUUAUCUGAACUUGAACUACAAUCUGUUGUCGAUAACUCGCUUUCCCAACUGGCUCUGGACCAGCGUGAUCAAUGGCGAUAGCUACACUUUGCUGGUGGACACCUCGCGUCCCGAAUGUCGGCACCUUAGCUAUCAGACGAAUGAGCCCAACUAUUUUUCCAUCUAUUAUAUACUGAAGCUAUGUUUGUUGCUGGGUAUCACCGCUUCGCUGAUCUAUGUCAUCAUUAAAGUCGCUGUUCGACUUUCGUUUAAGCGUUAAAUAAGGUUUAUCUGUUCUGCAAAAAAUUUUAUGAAAUUUAUUUAGUUUAAAGAGUUUUUGUGUUAAGCAUUAACUUCGAAUUCAGUCAAUUAAUGGUUUUCUUUAGGUUUGGUUCUUAAGCGUUUAACAUAUUCGAUUGAUUUCAAAAUACUUGCGAGCAGUAUAAGAGUCGAGGAUAUUUCAAGCAAACACAAAUACGGGGAACAUUCCUUGGCGCAGCCAACUUCACUCUGAUCUAAGACACUGCAAACCAAUUCGCCGCGUUGAAGUCUUGGCUGCCAUAAAGUUCGUUAAGCGUAGACCAGAACCUUAGCGUGUGCAAGAACCGCAACGAGGCUAAUAAUGGGAUGACUAAAAUCCCGAAUUUCUGCACACCUUUUUAACGUUUGUUGGACAUUUUUCAUUUUCAAAAUACAAUGGCGGGAAAUUAAUCGAAUAUUUAUAAACGGCGGAAAAAUUCAAAUGUUGCCUCUGCUAAAAUAGUUUGUUAGAGCGUUUUAUAAUUAAUAGUUUAUUAAAAAAAAUAAAAUGAAGAUAUGCA